Molecule: ribosomal RNA, 512 nt
Filed under: Bifidobacterium breve
Lineage: Bacteria; Bacillati; Actinomycetota; Actinomycetes; Bifidobacteriales; Bifidobacteriaceae
Description: bacterial SSU rRNA
Rfam family: Bacterial small subunit ribosomal RNA
Source: RNAcentral
CAUGGUCUUCUGGGAAAGCCUUUGCGGCAUGGGAUGGGGUCGCGUCCUAUCAGCUUGAUGGCGGGGUAACGGCCCACCAUGGCUUCGACGGGUAGCCGGCCUGAGAGGGCGACCGGCCACAUUGGGACUGAGAUACGGCCCAGACUCCUACGGGAGGCAGCAGUGGGGAAUAUUGCACAAUGGGCGCAAGCCUGAUGCAGCGACGCCGCGUGAGGGAUGGAGGCCUUCGGGUUGUAAACCUCUUUUGUUAGGGAGCAAGGCAUUUUGUGUUGAGUGUACCUUUCGAAUAAGCACCGGCUAACUACGUGCCAGCAGCCGCGGUAAUACGUAGGGUGCAAGCGUUAUCCGGAAUUAUUGGGCGUAAAGGGCUCGUAGGCGGUUCGUCGCGUCCGGUGUGAAAGUCCAUCGCUUAACGGUGGAUCCGCGCCGGGUACGGGCGGGCUUGAGUGCGGUAGGGGAGACUGGAAUUCCCGGUGUAACGGUGGAAUGUGUAGAUAUCGGAAAGAACACCA